Long non-coding RNA from Archocentrus centrarchus (flier cichlid), 385 nucleotides. RefSeq lists it as uncharacterized. The transcript has 3 exons. The record is from RefSeq and is a predicted model, not a curated record. NCBI's taxonomy places the organism in Eukaryota, Metazoa, Chordata, Actinopteri, Cichliformes, Cichlidae.
CAGAUUGGUGCAGUGAGACGAGAGAUUGUGAUGACAUGAAGACUGUGAUUGUUGCUGUUUUGCUUUUGCUGGUUGUCAGUCAGAGUGAAGCUCUGAAGUGUAACUGUGGAGGUUCGCGCUACUGUCAAACCUCUGUGGAGACCUGCGUUGGAUCUAACAAUGUCUGCGCCAGUGUCAUCAUCUAUCCAGGAACUCCCAAAUACUUCCAGGGUUGCAUGAAUUCACCCGACUGCAGGAUAAUGAAUCAUCCUGGUAUAUCAUCUGCCACUUGCUGCGCGACUGAUCUGUGCAACAGAUAAAUUGCUAUCAUGCACAACAUUUUCCAAUGCAUAAAUAAUUUACUGUCAUGUAUUGUGUAAUAUCAUUUUCACAAUAAAAAUCAACU